RNAcentral lists this unclassified non-coding RNA (314 nucleotides) under Hevea brasiliensis (rubber tree). The record is from RNAcentral. Lineage: Eukaryota; Viridiplantae; Streptophyta; Magnoliopsida; Malpighiales; Euphorbiaceae.
GCUUUCCCACCAAGCCUAGCGACGGCGAUUGCGACGUUGGCUGGGGCACCACCAGGAGCCUUCAGAAAACCAGGUGCCUCGGCUAAGGACACACCGGAGACGGUAGGGACGAAGUCGAUCAACAUCUCGCCGAAGCUGACUAUGAGGGAAGAGCCGGAGCUGUCAUUGGUCACAGCUGACGCCAUUGGAAUAAGAUUUUACUUGGGAGAAGAAGGAGAAAAUGAAGUCUUUCUAGAGAGAGAAAAUGAAGUCUUUCUAGAGCACGUUUGGAGAUUUUGAAGAGGAGAGAGAGGAGAAGAAGAAGGUAUAUAUAG